AUGCAAGAAUUAUUGCAAGGUAAACGAUAUUCGCUGGUUUUAGAUGAUGCAUGGAAAAGAAAUCAAGAAUUGGAAUUCAGAUUAAGUCAGGACAAUUGGAAUAAGUUGAAAUCCGUGUUGUCAUGUGGGUCCAAAGGUCUAUUAGUUUCCAUUCGGGGCAAGGAUGUUGUAGAAAUUGCGAGAACAUGCCAAGCUCAUUAUCUAUCGGGUCUAACUGAAGAUGAAUGUUGGUUGUUGUUCAAACAAUAUGCAUUUGGAAAAUGA
Molecule: non-coding RNA, 264 nt
Organism: Vicia faba (fava bean)
Lineage: Eukaryota; Viridiplantae; Streptophyta; Magnoliopsida; Fabales; Fabaceae
Source: the annotation of a GenBank genome assembly